GACGAACUUUGGCGGCGUGCUUAACACAUGCAAGUCGAACGGAAAGGCCCUGCUUUUGUGGGGUGCUCGAGUGGCGAACGGGUGAGUAACACGUGAGUAACCUGCCCUUGACUUUGGGAUAACUUCAGGAAACUGGGGCUAAUACCGGAUAGGAGCUCCUGCUGCAUGGUGGGGGUUGGAAAGUUUCGGCGGUUGGGGAUGGACUCGCGGCUUAUCAGCUUGUUGGUGGGGUAGUGGCUUACCAAGGCUUUGACGGGUAGCCGGCCUGAGAGGGUGACCGGCCACAUUGGGACUGAGAUACGGCCCAGACUCCUACGGGAGGCAGCAGUGGGGAAUAUUGCACAAUGGGCGGAAGCCUGAUGCAACAACGCCGCGUGCGGGAUGACGGCCUUCGGGUUGUAAACCGCUUUCGCCUGUGACGAAGCGUGAGUGACGGUAAUGGGUAAAGAAGCACCGGCUAACUACGUGCCAGCAGCCGCGGUGAUACGUAGGGUGCGAGCGUUGUCCGGAUUUAUUGGGCGUAAAGGGCUCGUAGGUGGUUGAUCGCGUCGGAAGUGUAAUCUUGGGGCUUAACCCUGAGCGUGCUUUCGAUACGGGUUGACUUGAGGAAGGUAGGGGAGAAUGGAAUUCCUGGUGGAGCGGUGGAAUGCGCAGAUAUCAGGAGGAACACCAGUGGCGAAGGCGGUUCUCUGGGCCUCUCCUGACGCUGAGGAGCGAAAGCGUGGGGAGCGAACAGGCUUAGAUACCCUGGUAGUCCACGCUGUAAACGGUGGGUACUAGGUGUGGGGUCCAUUCCACGGGUUCCGUGCCGUAGCUAACGCUUUAAGUACCCCGCCUGGGGAGUACGGCCGCAAGGCUAAAACUCAAAGGAAUUGACGGGGCCCCGCACAAGCGGCGGAGCAUGCGGAUUAAUUCGAUGCAACGCGUAGAACCUUACCUGGGUUUGACAUGGAUCGGGAGUGCUCAGAGAUGGGUGUGCCUCUUUUGGGGUCGGUUCACAGGUGGUGCAUGCCUGUCGUCAGCUCGUGUCGUGAGAUGUUGGGUUAAGUCCCGCAACGAGCGCAACCCUUGUUCACUGUUGCCAGCACGUUAUGGUGGGGACUCAGUGGAGACCGCCGGGGUCAACUCGGAGGAAGGUGGGGAUGACGUCAAGUCAUCAUGCCCCUUAUGUCCAGGGCUUCACGCAUGCUACAAUGGCUGGUACAGAGAGUGGCGAGCCUGUGAGGGUGAGCGAAUCUCGGAAAGCCGGUCUCAGUUCGGAUUGGGGUCUGCAACUCGACCUCAUGAAGUCGGAGUCGCUAGUAAUCGCAAAUCAGCAACGCUGCGGUGAAUACGUUCCCGGGGCU
This 1346-nucleotide ribosomal RNA is filed under the name uncultured bacterium. RNAcentral describes it as "partial 16S ribosomal RNA". It matches the Rfam family "Bacterial small subunit ribosomal RNA", at positions 28 to 1381 of the family's 1533-position model. The record is from RNAcentral.